This 541-nucleotide ribosomal RNA is filed under the name uncultured archaeon. RNAcentral describes it as "bacterial SSU rRNA". It matches the Rfam family "Archaeal small subunit ribosomal RNA", at positions 457 to 997 of the family's 1478-position model. The record is from RNAcentral.
GGCAGCAGCCGCGGGAACACCGGCGGCCCGAGUGGUGAUCGUGAUUAUGGGUCUAAAGGGUCCGUAGCCGGUUUGGUCAGUCCUCCGGGAAAUCUGAUAGCUCAACUAUUAGGCUUUCGGGGGAUACUGCCAGACUUGGAACCGGGAGAGGUAAGAGGUACUACAGGGGUAGGAGUGAAAUCUUGUAAUCCCUGUGGGACCACCUGUGGCGAAGGCGUCUUACCAGAACGGGUUCGACGGUGAGGGACGAAAGCUGGGGGCACGAACCGGAUUAGAUACCCGGGUAGUCCCAGCCGUAAACGAUGCUCGCUAGGUGUCAGGCAUGGCGCGACCGUGUCUGGUGCCGCAGGGAAGCCGUGAAGCGAGCCACCUGGGAAGUACGGCCGCAAGGCUGAAACUUAAAGGAAUUGGCGGGGGAGCACAACAACGGGUGGAAGCCUGCGGUUUAAUUGGACUCAACGCCGGACAACUCACCGGGGGCGACAGCAAUAUGUAGGCCAAGCUGAAGACUUUGCCUGAAUCGCUGAGAAGAGGUGCAUGG